GUUUGACAGUUAUGGCAGUUGAAUGGUUUCUAAUUUUAUUGUCCAAUCAGAUGAUUUAAAAUUCAAAACUACGCAUCUGAUUGGACAAUAAAAUUAGAAACCAUUCAACUGCCAGAAAUGUCAAAC
Non-coding RNA from Paramuricea clavata, 126 nucleotides. NCBI's taxonomy places the organism in Eukaryota, Metazoa, Cnidaria, Anthozoa, Malacalcyonacea, Plexauridae. The record is from the annotation of a GenBank genome assembly.